Molecule: transfer RNA, 76 nt
Filed under: Burkholderiaceae bacterium
Lineage: Bacteria; Pseudomonadati; Pseudomonadota; Betaproteobacteria; Burkholderiales; Burkholderiaceae
Also listed under: 1 other name
Description: tRNA-Ala
Rfam family: tRNA
About the family: Transfer RNA (tRNA) molecules are approximately 80 nucleotides in length. Their secondary structure includes four short double-helical elements and three loops (D, anti-codon, and T loops). Further hydrogen bonds mediate the characteristic L-shaped molecular structure. tRNAs have two regions of fundamental functional importance: the anti-codon, which is responsible for specific mRNA codon recognition, and the 3' end, to which the tRNAs corresponding amino acid is attached (by aminoacyl-tRNA synthetases). tRNAs cope with the degeneracy of the genetic code in two manners: having more than one tRNA (with a specific anti-codon) for a particular amino acid; and 'wobble' base-pairing, i.e. permitting non-standard base-pairing at the 3rd anti-codon position.
Source: RNAcentral
GGGGGUAUAGCUCAGUUGGUAGAGCGCUUGCAUGGCAUGCAAGAGGUCAGCAGUUCGAUUCUGCUUACCUCCACCA